AUUGAACGCUGGCGGCAGGCCUAACACAUGCAAGUCGAGCGGAUGAAGGGAGCUUGCUCCUGGAUUCAGCGGCGGACGGGUGAGUAAUGCCUAGGAAUCUGCCUGGUAGUGGGGGAUAACGUCCGGAAACGGGCGCUAAUACCGCAUACGUCCUGAGGGAGAAAGUGGGAGAUCUUCGGACCUCACGCUAUCAGAUGAGCCUAGGUCGGAUUAGCUAGUUGGUGGGGUAAAGGCCUACCAAGGCGACGAUCCGUAACUGGUCUGAGAGGAUGAUCAGUCACACUGGAACUGAGACACGGUCCAGACUCCUACGGGAGGCAGCAGUGGGGGAUAUUGGACAAUGGGCGAAAGCCUGAUCCAGCCAUGCCGCGUGUGUGAAGAAGGUCUUCGGAUUGUAAAGCACUUUAAGUUGGGAGGAAGGGCAGUAAGUUAAUACCUUGCUGUUUUGACGUUACCAACAGAAUAAGCACCGGCUAACUUCGUG
RNAcentral lists this ribosomal RNA (484 nucleotides) under uncultured bacterium. RNAcentral describes it as "partial 16S ribosomal RNA". It matches the Rfam family "Bacterial small subunit ribosomal RNA", at positions 30 to 507 of the family's 1533-position model. The record is from RNAcentral.